RNAcentral lists this non-coding RNA (270 nucleotides) under Anaerocolumna jejuensis. Its description in RNAcentral is "T-box sequence". It matches the Rfam family "T-box leader". From Rfam's summary of the family: Uncharged tRNA acts as the effector for transcription antitermination of genes in the T-box leader family. T-boxes are found upstream of many aminoacyl-tRNA synthetase genes and some amino acid biosynthetic genes usually in Gram-positive bacteria. Lineage: Bacteria; Bacillati; Bacillota; Clostridia; Lachnospirales; Lachnospiraceae. The record is from RNAcentral.
AUAAAGGCAAUGAAGAGAAGAGUACAUUACGGUGGAUGCUACAGAGAGCCUCUGGCAGCUGAGAAGAGGUGCAAAAGCCGCAAUGGAAAAAAGACUUGGAGCCGCGUACCGACGGGAAUUUUCCCUGAGGCUGCGAUGGGAGCGCCCAUUACAGCGCCAGAGUAUCAACAGCAGCCUGAGAUGGCCUGCCGUCCGUACUUGCAGAGGUCCUUAUUGUGAAAUAGGGGUGAAACAGGGUGGUAACACGAAGCGACAGCUCUCGUCCUUGAA